Molecule: long non-coding RNA, 505 nt
Filed under: Dermacentor andersoni
Lineage: Eukaryota; Metazoa; Arthropoda; Arachnida; Ixodida; Ixodidae
Description: uncharacterized LOC126535553
Source: RNAcentral
UGCGAUACGGGCACUGUAUUGGGCUCAUUAGUGAAUUUUGGAAUGUCGUUUAAGAACAGUUUUUCAACAGGGCAUCACUGCGCUGUUUACGGUUGUAGCAACAAUCAAAAGAAGAGGAAUGCUGCAAGAAAACAGCUGUGCGGCAAGCACAACGUGGUGCAGGAGGAGUGCGGCUGCAACAUUUAUUUGUUACAUAGGUUUCCAGCUGAUGCGGAUUUAAAGAGGCAGUGGAUCGCAGCAGUGAAUAGAAAAGAUUUCGUCCCUUCGUCAUCGUCACGCGUCUGUUCUAUGCAUUUUGUUGACGGUAAGCGCAGCGAUCAAAACCCCGUGCCUAUGCUUCGCCUCGGAUACGAGAGAAAGGUGCUUAAAGGACGACGACGUCUAGUAAAGUACGACAGUGAACAGCCAAAGAAAAAGAGGACUGCCGAGAACCUACCACCGACCUCGCUGGCAUGUAGCCUCCAUCUCGACACGGGGGAUACCAAUUUUCUGGAAGACGCUUCCG